UGUUAAAUGUGUGUGUGCAUGUGCAAGUGUACACGUAUGUGUAUAUUGUACAUAGGACAAAUAAAAUAUUCGACAUUCACAAAUUUA
This 87-nucleotide microRNA precursor is filed under the name Dipodomys ordii (Ord's kangaroo rat). Its description in RNAcentral is "miRNA (ENSDORG00000025131.1)". The record is from RNAcentral. Lineage: Eukaryota; Metazoa; Chordata; Mammalia; Rodentia; Heteromyidae.